GACGUAGGAGGCAAGCGUUAUCCGGAUUUAUUGGGCGUAAAGCGCGUGCAGGCGGUUUGGUAAGUUGGAUGUGAAAUCUCUCGGCUUAACCGGGAGAGGUCGUUCAAAACUACCAGACUCGAGAUUGGUAGAGGAAGGUGGAAUUCCGGGUGUAGUGGUGAAAUGCGUAGAUAUCCGGAGGAACACCAGUGGCGAAAGCGGCCUUCUAGGCCAUUUCUGACGCUAAAACGCGAAAGCUAGGGGAGCAAAC
Molecule: ribosomal RNA, 250 nt
Filed under: uncultured bacterium
Lineage: Bacteria
Description: partial 16S ribosomal RNA
Rfam family: Bacterial small subunit ribosomal RNA
Source: RNAcentral